UGUAGGGAACAGGGCGUAGGGAAUAGGGUGUAGGGAACAGGGUGUAGGGAAUUGGGUGUAGGGAAUAGGGUG
Pangasianodon gigas (Mekong giant catfish) is the source of this 72-nucleotide non-coding RNA. Lineage: Eukaryota; Metazoa; Chordata; Actinopteri; Siluriformes; Pangasiidae. The record is from the annotation of a GenBank genome assembly.